AAAGCUCAAAUUUGAAAUCUGCGUAAGCCGAGUUGUAAUUUGAAGAUGGCUACUUUGGUAAUGGCUCUUGUCUAUGUUCCUUGGAACAGGACGUCACAGAGGGUGAGAAUCCCGUGCGAUGAGAUGUCCAUUACCGUGUAAAGUGCUUUCGAAGAGUCGAGUUGUUUGGGAAUGCAGCUCUAAGUGGGUGGUAAAUUCCAUCUAAAGCUAAAUAUUGGCGAGAGACCGAUAGCGAACAAGUACAGUGAUGGAAAGAUGAAAAGAACUUUGAAAAGAGAGUGAAAAAGUACGUGAAAUUGUUGAAAGGGAAGGGCUUGAGAUCAGACUUGGUAUUUUGUAUGGCUUGCUUUCGGGCGGGUCCUCUGCAGUUUACUGGGCCAGCAUCGGUUUGGGUGGCAGGAUAAUAGCAUUGGAAUGUGGCUCUACUUCGGUGGAGUGUUAUAGCCUUUGUUGAUACUGCCUGCCUAGACCGAGGACUGCGUCUUUUGACUAGGAUGCUGGCAUAAUGAUCCUAAGCCGCCCGUCUUGAAACACGGACCA
This 540-nucleotide ribosomal RNA is filed under the name Fermentozyma sake. RNAcentral describes it as "eukaryotic LSU rRNA". It matches the Rfam family "Eukaryotic large subunit ribosomal RNA", at positions 104 to 668 of the family's 3401-position model. The record is from RNAcentral. Lineage: Eukaryota; Fungi; Ascomycota; Pichiomycetes; Serinales; Debaryomycetaceae.